Molecule: long non-coding RNA, 37197 nt
Filed under: Setaria italica (foxtail millet)
Lineage: Eukaryota; Viridiplantae; Streptophyta; Magnoliopsida; Poales; Poaceae
Description: long non-coding RNA (SITA_LNC003491)
Source: RNAcentral
UUUAGUCUGGCGCUUGUGCCUAUCUAUCUUGGUCUUAGAACUGAUUCACCACUCUGUUCGUCCUGCUACUGCCAUCAUCGAAACCUUCCCGCGCCAUACGCUCCCAUGGCUCCGUCGUCCUUGCUGCUCUUCCUCAUCUCGUCGGUGCCAGGUGAUGCUUGCGGCAGCAGCAGCAUACGUGCAAAGGAGGAAAGGACCGCGCGCCUGUGGUAUGCGGCAACCUCAGCAUCUCCUACCCGUUUGGCGUUUGGCGUUUGGGUUACUCUCGGAGGAAGCAACGGAGUAACUGCGCAGCGCAGUGCUCGGAUUCCAAGUCGUUUGCUCAGGCAACACCCUUUACCUCGGGUUAGGUUUUAAGGUAUCGUUGUAGAUUCUCAACAUCUUCUACGGCAUGGGCUCCUUACUCGUUGCCGAUGUCUACAAGCUCCACGACUUCAAUAGCUCCGCGCCCAACUGCUGCCAUGCCCCAGGUGUCAACGUCUCCACCAAGCCCAUUCUCAAUCAGCCCCGUCAAUCAGAACCUCAUAUUUUACAACUGCACCAAGCCAGCGGCAGAGGAGGUGAGGCAGAAACGCGGCCUUGUGGGGACGGCAUGCCGCAACAACACGUUUGUUCGCGCCGGAGGUAGUUACGACGACGAGGGGUCGGGCAGCUACAGCAAUUACUUUCUGGAGGGCUGCAACGCUACCGUCGUGCCGGUGCUUGGGAAUUCUGGCGAGGCGAACGCGAGCAGAUCCGAGAAGCUCAUCAGCGGCGGCUUUCUCUUGACAUGGUACGGUCGUCGUCGCCAGGUAAAUUUCACUAAGAUUAAUUUAAGACCAUCCUACAGGGAGAACGAUGAGCGCACGCGCGAGCAGCGGCAUGAAGGUCCAUGUGGGCGGCGGUGGCAAGCUCUGCACCGCGCCGGCGAGGCCGUGUGUUCGUCGACGGCGGCGACCGCGCGAGUAUGGUGGUGGCGAGAUCUAGCUAGGUGUGCUUUGCGCACGAGUGCACUUUGGCGGCGUUGGCAGCAAACUCGGGGUGGCCAUGCACGAGCUCGAGGGGCGCUGCCGCGACGGCGGGCUCAAGGGACGGGGCCACGGCCAGCUCAAGGUGGCAGCCACCACAAGCUCCGCCUGUAACACAGAUCGAAGGAAAAGUUGAAUUGCUGGAGUCCAAAUCGAAAUUCUAUGGUCCAGAUCGAAGCACAGGAGGAAAAUGAGAGCUUUCAUCAGCAAGGUGCAGGCUUGCCAAUGGAAUAGAAAAUAGAAAAGGAGGCGCGUUUCAAGGCACGGCGAGGCCUGCAGGUGGGCAGCCAGACGUGGACGGCGGCGGCCAUAGGCGGCUGGAGGCGACACGCACGGCGGGAGCCGGGGAGCACGCGCGGGCAGCCAAACGCCGGCGGCCACAGCAACGGGGCGCGCGGCAGGCCAUGCGGGCGGCCGCCACCACGGGCCUGGCGUGGUUGCUCUCAAGCGGCGACUCGCGGACAGCGCAUGGCGGGGCACCAUGGCUACAUAGCGUAGGCGACGGCGACCUCCAUGGUGUGGGGAGCCAUCGAGACGACUUUUUUGUAUUUUUAGAUUUUUUUGAAAGAUUCUCACAAAUACGUCGAACCAAUUUUAAAAAUGGAUCCUUAGCUUGGCACCAUCCACGCUGGCGCCAAGCUACAACGUCUCGGUGCCAGCCACCCUAGCGCCAAGAUCCAUGCGCAGCUGCUGACGCGGAUGUCGAUGGCGCCAAGCUUGACGCCGUAGAUCAUGGCGCCGAGCUAUUUACCCCGUACUUCUUCGCAUUUCGAACUAAACAAGUACAAUUAUUCCGAGGAGUGUGCAAUAAACUAAACUGUGGUUCAACCGGUUAGGAGGUGGGCUUCUUAUCUUGGAGACUUGAGUUCAAACCCCUGUGUUGAACCUUUUUUUCUACAUGACCUUGGCGUCAGGAUGGCUGGCGCCGAGACGUUGUAGCUUGACGCCAGCUAAGGGUCUAUUUUUAAAAUUAGUUUCGUCGUGAGCCUAUUUGUGAGAAUCUUUCGUAAAAAGGGUUUAAAAAAAGUCAGCCAUCGAGAUGGAGCUGCAGGAUGGGUCUCACGAGUCACGAGGGUGGAAACGAGGCCAUGCCCGCAUCGCUAAAAUCGCUGGUUUCAUCAUCUUUGGUGUUACCGAGCCGACAUCGUUUCUCAGGAAGGAAAUCGUUUCCUUCUCUCUUCAAUAAAUGGCUAGCCACAUCAACAAUUCGUCUACGUGACUGUGUAUUUAUUAAUAUGAAAAUUAUUCUCGUCACUGUGGUGGACUGCCUUGAAACGUGAGAGGAGGGUUGCCAUUCGAUUUUCAUUAGAUACAAGCCGGUAGCUGGACGUGCAAAAUCGAAAACUAUAGACCUAGCUUGGUUACUCUUGCUUAUUUUUAUUUUUAGUACCCGUUGUAUCGAAUGUUUAGAUACUAAUUAGGAGUGUUAAACUUAGACUAUUUACAAAACUCAUUAUAUAAGUGGAGGCUAAACGGUGAGAUGAAUCUAUUAAGUCUAAUUAGUUAAUGAUUUGACAAUGUGUUGCUACAGUAAACAUUUGCUAAUGAUGAAUUAAUUAUGUUUAAUAGAUUUGUCUCGCCGUUUAGCCUCCAUCUGUGUAAUGGAUUUUGUAAAUAGUCUACGUGUAAUACUCCUAAUUAGUAUCUAAACAUUUGAUGCGACACGUGUUAAAAAUAAGCAAAGGGAACCAAAAGACUCGUAAUUAUGAGAAAGGUUAGUGACAAUAGGACAACACUGAAUGUCAAUAUUGCUUCUUCUUCCCGUUGGACCUCCGCCUCCCUUGCACACAUCCCCAUUCCUCAAUCCCGUCCAUUUCGCAGCCUCCUAGCUCCUAUACUGAUCGAAUAACAAGCUUGAUGCAUCCGGCCCUGGUCCUCUUCCCGCUGGCCGCCUCCUUGCUCCUCCUCCAAGACCAUGCAAGCGCCGACUGCGAGCCGGCGACAUGCGGGAACCUCACUCUCAGAUACCCAUUCUGGCUGGGCAGCGGCAACCAGACCUCAUCACCCUGCGGCCACCCGUCCUUCGAGGUCUGGUGCAGCGACCGCCGCCGGAGCGUAGCCUCACUGAAGGGCUCCUCCAUGCACAUCCUCUCCAUCGAUUACACCAACUACUACUUCGUCGCCUCCCACACCAGGGUCGCCGCCGCCGACGGCGUGUGCCGCACCGACUUCAACAUGUCGAUCAGCAUCGCGCUCAGCCCGUUCACCAUUAGCCCCCGGAACCGCGCCCUGUGCUUCCUCUACAACUGCACCGGCGGCGCGGCCCCGAUCGGGCCCGACGAGUACGUGAACGCCACCUCCAUCAGCUGCCGUGACCCCAUCUACGCGUACCUCGGCGGGGCCUACUACUGGGACAAGCCGCCGGCGAUCGCGUCGGACGGGUGCACGUACACGUACAUCCCAGUGCUGGGGCGGGAGGCGGAGACCAUGACGGCGGCCAACUACAGCCGGCUCCUGAAGGACGGAUUCGUCCUGGAGUGGGAGGCGGCAGGGAUCGGCGACUGCGCCGCCUGCAACGCGAGGGGCGGGAAGUGCCGGUACGACAAAGCCACCGCGGCGUUCCGGUGCCUCUGCCCCGACGGCAGCCGCGCGGCGGGGUCGACAUGCUCCGGUGAGUAGUCACUCUCCCACUUCCCUCCGUACACGUACAGUAGUCAGCGUGUGUGGACGCCGGCGGGCGACCCGGCGCAUGCCGCUUUCAGCUGCAAGACUUUCUUGGUCCAUUGCAUCAUGCGGAUUGCGGCGUGGCGAAGGCGCAGCGGCGCUGGCGCAUGCAUCGGCGUCGCGGUAGUGCUGCCCAUGGGGUUGGAUCCUCGUAGGCCCCAUGGAGAUUUUGCACGCAGCUCUCGCUCUCAGUAACCUUGGCUAGUUUCCCUCGAUCCACCGGUAGAAUGGCCCGCGGCAGCUGGAGUGAUGGCUAUCUUAAGACUGUGUGGCGCGCGCACUGGCCACGCCGCAAUCCCUGGUAAACGCGUGUGCGGUCAAUGUCGUCUUCCCUGCCGGGGCAGCAGAGCGCUCGCCGCGGCGCGGAGCAACAGGGGAGGGGGCCUGCCGCUGCCGGGCGUCGCUUUCGCCUGCCAUUAGCUUCUCCACGUGCUCUUUCGCGCAUGAUCGUUCCCAUUAAGGGUGUUUGAUACGAGCUGCUAUAGGAGGGUCAUAUCGGAUGUUCGGAUGCUAAUUAGGAGGACUAAACAUGAGCUAAUUAUAAAACUAACUGCAGAACCCCUAUACUAAUUCGCGAGACGAAUCUAUUAAGCCUAAUUAAUCCAUCAUUAGCAACUGGUUACUGUAGCACUACAUUGUCAAAUCAUGGACUAAUUAGACUUAAUAGAUUCAUCUCGCGAAUUAGACUCCAUCUGUACAAUUAGAUUUGUAAUUAGACUAUAAUUAAUACUUCUAAUUAGUAUUCAACAUCCGAUGUGACAUGUCCUAAAGUUUAGGAGGUGGUACCAGUGCGCUGACACAUCAACGGUAGGGUAUAUCAUCACUUGCCUCGAGCUUUAGCUUGAUCCAUAUCUUGUUGCUAUUAGGGGGUGUUUGAUACAAGGUGCUAAAGUUUAGAAGGGCCAUAUCGGAUGUUCAGAUGCUAAUUAGCAGGAUUAAACAUGAGCUAAUUACUAAACUAAUUGCACAGAUGGAGUUUAAUUCGCGAGAUGAAUCUAUUAAGGCUAAUUAAUCCAUCAUUAGCAAAUGGUUACUGCAACACCACAUUGUCAAAUCAUGAACUAAUUAGGCUUAAUAGAUUCGUCUCGCGAAUUAGACUCCACCUGUGCAAUUAGUUUUGUAAUUAGACUAUAUUUAAUACUUCUAGUUAGUAUCCAAACAUCUGAUGUGACAGGUGUUAAAGUUUAGCAGGGUAUCCAAACACCGCCUUAGUAGGUUGCAGUUAGCAUUGCUGACUUGCUGUCUUUGCUGAAGUGUCCAUUUGUGGCAAGUAGGUGCACUAAGUGCGUGAGGCUAGGGUCACAAGUGGUCACCAAAUCUGCACUUCUGAUUUUCUAGUCAAAAUAAUAAGGGGCACUUUUUAUGGACAAGUACCUCAAGUAGGUUUACAUGAUAGUCUUUGGAUCCCAGCCCAAAUUACAGGCAAAUAUUGUCUUGCAGUGUUUGAUUUAUAAAUAUGAAAAAAAAUCCAAAUUAUCAUAGGCUUUGUUCAUAAGCUUAGAGCUUGGAGCUUUGCCGUAGAAAAGCAGCAUGAAUAACCAUUUAGAUGGAAUGCACAAGAAAAACACAUGACUUUGCAGGGGGUCCCACGUGUAUCCUGCUCAAAGCCCCUCCAAUGCUCCAGCAUCUCGGUCACCAGAACAGAGCAGUCAAACUCGGAGACGAGGACCGGUCCACACAUUCAGCACCAUCCUUCGCGCCUUCCUUCCGGCCCCAUUAAGGCUCCUUUAGCACGGCUCAUCCAUUGGCUUCUCGAGUGAUUUUUGAUGAAACCAUGCCAAACAGGCACCGUCAAAACGGCUAGCAAGCAAAAGCCAGGCGGAAGCCCCGCAAAAUGCGCUGAGUGCGUUCCUCCCCGCGCGAGAAGCUAAAAAUAGUGGCUUAUCUUGGCUUCUCCCCGUCGGAACGAGACCAAUUCCAUCGCUAACCUCGGUGCUUACCUGGUGGCGGGGUGGAGCACCGGUCCAGCGGCGGACGGAGGAGGAGAGAGGAGGGGAAAAAGAAAAGAAGGGCCUGGCGGGGUGGCGGCGGAGUGGCGGAGGAGGAGGGCCAGGGUGGUUAGGUGGUGGCGGAGGAGGAGGUCCGGUGCGGCGCCAUCGCGGCGGAUGGGCAGAGGAGGAGGUCCGGUGUAGCGCCGUGUUGGCGGAGGGAGCCGGGGUCGGCGGGGUGGCGCUGGAGGGGUGGAGGAGGAGGGUUGGGUGGAUAAGGUCGGGAGGGAGGUGCCGAUCGGAUAAGGAGAGAAGGGAGGAAAAGAAAAGAAGGGAGAAGGAAAGAGAAAUAAAAAAGAAAGAAAAAGAAAAGAAAAAUGAGGAGAAAAAAAAGAAAAGAGAAAAAAUAUAAGAGUAUUUUGGACAUUUGACACCUUCUUUCCAAUCUAAAAAGCCAGGAGAAGCUGAGCUAGAGCAAAAAAAAAUCUGUUUCAUUCCAGAUGCGCUAGAGCCAGAGCUGUUUUUUCACGAGCCAAAGUCGUGCCAAACGGACCCUAAAUCGUCAGGCUCGCCUCAUGAAUCACCUUCUCUUCUUCUCCGUGUUCUUCCCAAACCGUCUCCUUGUCGACCUCCAGCAACCCCAAGCGUCUUCCCUUGUGUCGCGAAGAUGCACGCGUGUCCUGUUCCUGCCGCUGCCCUGCUGUGCCCAGUCGUGCUACUUCUAGCUCUGCUUCCCAGUCCCGCCACCACCGCUGCCGCCCUGAACACGUCCAACCCCUGCGCGCCGGCGUUGUGCGGCGGCAUCAACAUCGCCUUCCCGUUCUGGCUCGCCGGCAAGCAUCCGCCGGAGUGCGGCUACAAGGCCUACCAGGUCACCUGCGACAAAGGCAAUCUUACUCUCAAGAACUCUUACUGGACGUACCAACUCCUGGACAUCUUCUACCAAAACAGCUCCUUCAGAGCCGACCUGUCUGGAGGCCUCUGCGACUUCAAGAAUUUCGUCAACGCCGCCUCCGACCUCGGCCUCUCGCCGUUCAAGAUUAGCCCCAAGAACCAGGAGCUGUUCUUCCUCUACGACUGCGAACUGCGGGGAAGACACGCACCUCGUUCUUGGACGCUCGUGAACUGUUCGUCGCCGGAUGACCCACCGUGGGCGUUUGCCUUGCUUGGGAAGAAUUACACGCCAGGUGGCACUGGGAUGCCACCGCCGAUGAAUUGCAACGUGUCGACGACUCCGGUGCUGGGAUACGAGGGAGCGACGGGGGCAGACUAUCAACGGCUGCUGAAGGGUGGUUCUCUGCUCGAGUACACGGAUGAUGAGCCCUGCAAGGAUUGCACGGAUACCGGCGGCCGGUGCCGGGUUAAUGUAUCCGACGAUGCGUUCGCGUGCUACUGCAACGACGGUGACGACGGCUGGUUUAUUUGCGGUGAGUAUGUUUAUGCUUAUGAUUUAGAAUUCAUUCUGCUUCUUACUGUUUCCUUCAUCUUGCGUUGCCUCCAUAUUCGACUCGAACCAACGUGCUUAAGCCUAGUAUAUUAGCACAACACAUGUCACUUGCCCAUUAUACAAUGUCAAUGGAAUGCAUUGGAUGCAUACUAGUAGCCAUCAUUCUAUCGACAUGGUAAACUCCAUUUUCAUUCUUUCUUCUCUAUUAAUACAUACCAAGCAGAGUCCUGCUCCUGCAAGCUGUUUCGGAAAAAAGAAGAAUUGGUAACAUCCAAACUAGCAAAGGUGCUAACACUAAAAAAUGUUAAAGAAAUCUUGAGAGAGAGAGAGACGACGAUUAUGCAAAUGCAUCCGCUGUGCAUCCGCUGUAAAUUAACUCCGCCGGCCGCCAUCGCAGUCGAUCUUGACCUCUGGGCUCAUCGUGUCCUUGGAACACGGACACAGAUGUGGCGUACCUUAUUUUGUAACAUAACUUAAGUACUCUCGCCUCUCCUACCCCCACAUCGCAAACAUGUCAAUUACAUGGUCGUAAAUAAUGUAAGGUAACAUAAUACAAAAUAGAAUAAGAGAUUCUGAUGGUCAAGGUGUAGCCUUAAAUACCACAAUGAGGCAAACUGCGGCAUGCGUCAAGUGUAUCAUCCACUAUCAAUGCAUCUCCUUUGUCAAUUGUCGCUUCCAGCUCUAAUAAAAAGGAAGGGCAACAUUAUACACACAAGAAUGGCAGAUCAUAGAUGUCAACUCAGCGGUGUAGCAUAUUAUUUGAAUUUUAUUUGCAAAUUCGGAACUGUCAAAUAUGUCACUCAUUCCUUCCUUUAAGCAAAAGAAUCAAUAAGUGCUAUUUGAUGCUUUUCUAAGCUAAUGCUAUUUCAGGUAGCAAAAGGAUUGGCACGAAGAUAAUAAUAAUGAUAGGUAUGCUACACUUAACAUAAUUUCAUAUCAAGCAAUUCAAAUUUCAGUACUUAUAUACUGCAACAAGUUACUUUUUUAUUUUUAGUCUUCGGAAGACCAGAGAAGAGCUAUUAUAACAUUUAUCAUAUAUGAUCCUGCAUAGAUUCUAAAAUGAAAUUUUAGAACAAGUUAUCCACAAUCUGUGUCUUCUAUUAUAAAUUAGGCAACUUUGAGCAAGAUUCACUGUCCUUAAUUAUAUAGCUUCUUAAUAUUUUCCAGCUAUGCACUUCUUCUUUUAUUUUAUUUCUAUAAAAAGAGAUAACAACGGAUUUUAAUGAUCUUGGAAAUCCGAAUGAUAAUAAUAUAGCAGCUCACCGUUUCAAGAGAAAAAUAACAUCUGCUUUAAUUUCAGUUUGGAUGACAGUAGCUGCAAGCUUGCUCCUACCAUGUAUAUAUGUGCUUGUAUGGCAUAGAAAGAGAGGAAAGCUACAUUUUUUCUUAUGUGAAAAGACUAGCAGAAGCACUCAAAGGAACAUUGAGGCCCUAAUAGUUUUGCAUGGAUCCCUAGCUCCAAAAAGAUACAAGUAUUCAGAAGUAACAAAGAUAACGUCUUCCUUUAGUAAUAAGCUUGGGGAAGGUGGUUAUGGUGCAGUUUUCAAAGGAAGGCUAGAUGAUGGUCGUCAAGUUGCUGUGAAAUUCUUGCAUGAUUCCAAAGGAGAAGGGGAGGAGUUUGUUAACGAGGUUAUGAGCAUUGGUAGGACCUCUCAUGUUAAUAUUGUUAACUUAUUUGGGUUUUGUUUGGAAGGCUCAAAGCGGGCCAUAAUAUAUGAGUACAUGCCCAAUGGUUCUUUGGAUAAGUUCAUAUACUCAGAGAAUCCUAAAGCAGUUUUAGGAUGGGAUAAGCUCUACACAAUAGCGAUUGGAAUUGCUCGAGGAUUGGAAUACUUGCAUCACAGUUGUAAUACACGCAUUAUCCAUUUUGAUAUCAAGCCUCAAAAUAUCCUUCUAGAUGAGGAUUUUCACCCAAAGGUUGCUGAUUUUGGUUUGGCCAAAUUAUGUCAUACCAAGGAGAGCAAGCUUUCUAUGGCUGGUGCUAGAGGAACAGUUGGUUUCAUCGCUCCUGAAGUGCACUCUCGAACCUUUGGAGUUGUUUCAACUAAAUCAGAUGUUUAUAGUUAUGGAAUGAUGCUAUUAGAGAUGGUUGGAGGCAGAAAAAAUGUGAAUUCAAUUGCUCAAAAGUCAAGUGAAAAGUAUUUUCCACAUUGGAUUUAUGACCAUUUUGGUCGAGGUGAUGGAUUACAAGCAUGUGAUGUCUCAAGUGAAAAUGAAGGAAUAGCCAAAAAGAUGAGUGUGAUUGGCCUGUGGUGUAUCCAAAUACUACCAAUGCAUCGCCCUACCAUAACAAAGGUUUUGGAAAUGUUUGAGCGAGCUUUAGAUGAACUGGACAUGCCACCGAGGCAAAACUUCAGCCAAAUCCUGUAAGAUAUUUAUGAUACGUUUUGCUGCAGCUACCCUGCACCAUUUACCAAUUGAUGUAGCAACAAUUCUUUUAUUGUUUUGCAGCGAAGAUCCAAAUUACAAUUUGAAUGCACAAAGCUUGAGUACAAGCAGUGGUACCAAAACACAAGUUUUUAGCGAAGUGCUAAAGAUGAAGGAGAUGAGCUUAGAGAAUUCAAAACUCUUACAGCGGUUACCAACUCUGUGACAAGGUUACCUAGCAUUGGAAUUGAGCAUUGAACUUGUGCAUGUGUAUUGGAGGGGGUAGAAAUCUUAAGUUACUCAAAUACUUGUCUCAAAACAAAAUGCUAAAUGCCUACUAUAUUAUUUUGCAGUCAAAGCCAUUAAGGCCCCAAGAGGGAAAGUUAUAUCUGCAAGUAUUCAUACGAUAUUUUUGACAUAAUCCUAACAUACUUAUAUCCUGUUAAUUAGAGCUUCUCGUUGUGCUUCACUGAUGCGCCAGCACCCCUUAUAGUCAUCCAACACCCAAACUUUACCCAAAAUCUCCUAAAUGUUAAUGACACAUCUGUACUGGAAUCAAUUAACAUUUGAAAAAUAUUCAUCAAGGCAUUACGCGUCCUAGAAAAAUCAAGACAUUCAGUUUUGAAGCUAUGACCUUAGUAGAGUCGAGCAGCAUAUAGUUGGAUCGUCCUGGAUUAAUGGCAUGCUGAAAUAUGAGGAUGGAGCUGAUGGUAGCCAUGACUGAGGUCGAAAAGGGCAUGCAUGUUGCUUGACUAUUUUUUUUUGAACGAAUGGGCACGAGGUUAUGCCUAUUUCAUUGAUAGAGAAGGAUAGUACACCCGGCUAGCUGGUUAGGAUACACAUGACUACGCAAUUACUCGCGAGAUGAAAAAACCGCUAAGUCCUUUGCGCCCGCUAUCAUCCACGCUCCGGCUUCUUCCUUGAUUUUCACGAAUAAUGCAAUGGUUGCCAUUUCCUUUUGAUUGAAUUCACACCUUUUGCUUUCCUUCCAGAUUUCCCAUAUGAUGAGCAGUGUAAUGGAGCACAUUUCCUUCCUUCCAGAUUUCCCAUAUGAUGAGCAGUGUAAUGGAGCACAUUUCCUUCCUAGGCGCUUCUGUUUUGGUAGUCAUGUUUAUCCACCAGUCCAGCGUGUUGUUGCUUUGUCGUCAUGCUGAGGGGUGUAUGCUUGGUUGUGCCGUCCAAUCCGCCACCAGGCUCCAAAUCCUUUUGGUGAAUCUGCAUUCGGCCAGUAGGUGAUGGGCUAUCUCUAUUCCGCAUCUGCAUAAAGGGCAUGAAGGAGAGUGUGGCCAUCCCCUACGCACUAGCCGAUCAGCUGACCACACUCGGUUUUGUAGUAUUAGCCAUGCAAAUAAUUUGCAUUUCGGCGGCGCCCAAUAGCGCUAGAGUGUUUUGCUAUGUGGUGUUUUGGUGGAUCCAAAAAAAUGUGCUUUGUACGCCGAGGCCGUCGAGUACUUGCCAUUCGCCAAACUUCCAGCAAAUACUGUCCUCCUGUUGUGGUUGUAAUUGGACCUCUGUAGUGAGUCACCAAAGCAUCGUAAAUUCUUGAAGGUGCAAUGGUGUAAUGCCACCGUGUAUGUUUAGGUCCCUGAUCCAGUUAUUCGCCUACAAGGCUUCUGCCACGCUUCUUUUUUCUUUUUGAGAUCGCGAAAAUGUUAGGUGCAAAGUCCUUUGGCCUACGGCCUUGCAUCUAGCCCGACUGCCAGAAGCUCGCCUUGUGGCCAUUCCCUACUGUGAUGUUCGUACAAGCCGUGAAUAGAAGUCUAUCAGUGUCAUCACAUGGUGUCUCCAUUCCGAUCCAUGUUUUUUGCUACUCCCAUUCAUGCCACAGCCAUAGUAAUCUGAGUGGUCUUGCAAACUUGCGUAGAUUAAGAACCCCCAGUCCUCCAUUUUCCUUUGGUAGACAGCUUCUAAUCCAAUUUAUACCUUGCAUUUGCCCCCAGUCAGUGCUUUGUCUCCUGCCCUCAAGAACUUUUUCCUUAUUUUGUCUAGAACGUCAAAGACUUUGUUUGACAUCUUGAGUACUGUCAAUAGGUAGAGCAGUUGUGCUGUUAGCACCGUUUUGGUGAGGCAGGUAUGCCCUACUUGGUUGAGAUUGCGGCCGAGAGCUUGCCUGCUGCUUUGUCGAUCAAAGGUUAGAAGUCAAUUUUCUUUAGUCGCCUUAUUGCGAGCGGGAGUCUGAGGUGUCUUAUCAGGAGUCCUGUUGUAGUUAUUGGGAGCCUCGAUAGGAUUUCCUCCAGGUUGACACACUCACAGCUUAUUGGAGCCACACUUGUUUUUUGAAGGUUUGUUCUCAGUUCGGUUGCCUCGCCAAAAAGGCUCAAUAGUUGUGUGGCAUUCGCAAUGUCUGCAGCUGUUGGCUUUAUGAAGCUAACUGCGUUGUCAGCAUAUAUUGAGAUACAUGCGUGUGCUACUCGCCCCUCCAGCUUGCUUAGUAGGCCUAAGUCCGUUGCUUUGUGUAUUAGCUGGUAUAGUGGGUCUAUCGCCAGGAUGAAGAGGAAAGGGGACAAUGGGUCUCCUUGUCGUAGGCCGUGUCUAUGCACAAUCGAGUCUAACAGGAUGUCGUUCAAUAGAAUUUUUGAAGUGGAUGUGGUGAGCAUUGUCGUGAUCUAGUCCCGCCAUCUUGGGGGGAAGCCUCUGUGCUAGAGUAGUGAGAGUAGGUAGUCCCAAUGCACCGAGUCGAAGGCCUUUGAGAUGUCCAGCUUCAUUAGUAAAGUAGGUGCUUUGUUCCUGUGGAAUCGAUGGCUCAUAUUCCGAACAUACAAGAAGUUGUCAUGGACACUUCUUCCUUUGAUAAAGGCACUCUAACAUGGCGAUAUUAGUGCUUCCAUAAAUGGCGCUCGACGUAGCGCAAGUAUUUUACUGAUGAUUUUGGCGAUGGCGUGUGUUAGGCUGAUUGGUCUGAAGUCUUGGAUGCUUUCGGCCCCCUCCUUCUUGGGGAGUAGUACUACUGUAAUGGCCUCGGAUAAAAAUCCUUUGCGUCAAUCUUAAUCCGAGUCCCUUAUCACCUGUCUCAGUUUUCCCAGCCUAAGUGUUCAACCUCCAGAUCUCCCGACCCCUUCGAUCCGACCCCUCGCCGUGUUUCCCGAGUUCCGACCCCGCCGACCCCCAACCCACCGUCGGAUCUUUCUAAGCCAUCCCACAGCGUCGCCCUUCAAUUCGAGCCGUGGACCUCCGAGACUGACCGGUGGACCCACGAGAUCUUUCUUCCAGAUCUCCCGCGACAGGCGCACUCGAGUUGCAUGCCCGCUUCAGAAUUCCCCAGCCGCGUGGCUCAACUCCUCCGACGCCCGCCGUUCCACCUCGUCGCCGGCCACGACCGGAUGGAUUCUCGCGCCCCCUUCCCCAAUCGCGGUAGAAGCUCCUCUGCUACCCUUUCUGCAGCACCUCGCCGCCCGCGCCCAUCAUCACAUCGCCAGAUCCCGGCUGCAGAGCCCGAUGCCGCCCGUCUUUUCCGUCACCUCUCCACAGUCGCGCCGCCCCGGUCCUCGCUACGCGACGAUUCCUCCUCCGCCAACCCAGACCGCGGCAGCGACAGCUCCUUUUCCCGCCUUGUCAGAAGCUCCUCCCCGACAAUCUGUUGCUCCGCGCUCGCCCGCGCGACCGCAGCCGCCUGUCUUCUCACCUGUGCGCCCUCGUUUCUAGCGUCGUUUUCCCAGUCACUUCCAUCAGAUCCACCGCAUGACGACGCCCACCUCUGCCAAAUCUCAACCACCGGCAAACCCGCGCCUACGCCGCCCUGACGUCAGUGCCCAAUAACCGCCGGUGUCAUCCCCGAUUCCUGCUCCACCGCCCUCGUCGCUCAAUCGUCGCCCCAGCAGGGCACUCCAUCGCUUCUUCCCCGGCCUUUGCGCCGCUUCCCCCUUCCCUCUUCCGCGCAGCUAUAAAAUGGAAUGCCGGAGCCCCGCCGGAGUUCCCCUUUGCCAUCGCUGCCCUCUCUCUUACUCCCUGUUCGUGCUCACAGCGCCACCACCUAAGUCUGAGGAACUCUCCUCUCCGCGCAAACACCACCUUCCCCGAAUCCACCAGCCACUGCUUUCAGUGCUGCCCCAGAGCUUGCUUGUGAUCCACAAGAAGCACCGCCGCCGCCGGAAUACCGCCGGACAUCCUCGCCGCUGUCCCAAGCCCCUUAGUCCUUCCGCCCAAGCCUCCUCUGUAAGAUGAAGGUAAGCUGCCGACCCUUUUGUCCGUCUCGCCCGACCCCCCCCCUAUCCGCCCGACCCCGGUUCCGUCUCGCCCGACCCUGUCUGUUCCGCCGACCCUUCUCCACCUCGCCCGAGGGCUCGGCUGUAUCUUUUUCCUUGAACCGAGGGUAUAUGUGUAAAACUUGGGGACUUUUCAGCGUUAAGUCUGAGGAUCCCUAGCACAUCUAUUCCUCUAGAUUAAGGGUCUGAUCAUAAGUUCCUUCCCAUCCGACCCUCAUAUCUUGAUCUCCAUCAACUCAAGCGAACCUCCCCACCCUCCUGUAACUUGCCGCAAAUUUCUGGGCUCAAACUUGCAAGUGUUGCUGUUGAAAUAACCGUCUAAAUGCUAACCAAUGCAUUGCAUUCGUGUAGAGCUGCGUCUCGCCGACGGCUUCUACGAGUUGCACCCGACGCCAGAAGAAGAAGGUGUAGCCGAGCUCCUGCCUCCAGAAGCCGAAGCUGCCCAAGCAGACGAGCAGUUUCCCUCCUCCUUGCUCGAAGGCAAGCCCUGGAUGCAUGAAUUUCCCUAUGUUUUUUACCAAACUUGCGCAUGCCUUCUUUAUCAUGCUUGUGCAUUUACGUAUAGGAGUUGUUUGGAACCAUAGAUGCAUAACUUAGCUUCCUUGAUCUGAACACUAGCUGUUGGACCGGGUAGAUGCUUUGCUUAAAUAGGAAACGGUAAAAGCCGAGUGAUUUCCUAUCACUCGCGAGUUGUAGGAGUUGGUUGUUUCCCCUUCUGUUACAACUAUAAGGAUGAUGGACGGGGCAGGGUUUUGGGUAACUUUUUGGUGGUCGGUUGAUCGCCCCGUAUGUCUAUGAAACUUGCUAAGGCCCGACAGUGGUGGUGUUUGUGAUCAAGUGUUUGAAAGUACUAAUCUCAUACCUAGUAUGGGAUGGGGAAGCCUAGUACCUGAUUGAACUAGAGCGUGGCUUAUACCCCUGUUGUCCCUGGAAUAAGGUUCCCAUGGUGCAUCAUGUGGGUGCAAGUGUGGUCACAGUACGGUAGAGGCCGGGACUGUGGAGCAUUGCAUGCCAAGGGAAGUUUGGACCUGACACGCGCCUGGGAAUUGAUGGGGACGGCCGACACAGGAAGCGACCCUUGUGGUGCGCGGAUAUCGUGAGAUUAGGUUCGCCAUGCAUGGUUAAGAAACUCGAAAUCGAUUCGUCUGCCUCUCACAGUUUGAGAUUGCUUGAUCGCUAUGUCAUCCCGAGUAAUAAAGGAAUCUGAUGAUGACAUGGUUUGUGAUGAUAUGUAUAUAUACCCUUGGUUGGUUCUAUGGUUGCUUAGAAUAAGUUGCUAACUUAGACUGGAUAAUGAACUUAGAACCUGAGCUAAAACUUUGAAAGUAGGGAUACACCUAGUGCUUUUGGCAAAGCAAACCCCUCAGCCAAAAAGCUUUGCAUGUCUAGAAGAAGUGGGGUAGCGUACUCCCUGUCGGUUAAGUCUUGUUGAGCUUAGUAGCCCAGCCUUGUUGUGGCUCUUCUUUUCAGGUGAAGUUGCUGCCUCUGAGCCUCCCUCUGCUGGCACUUGGCCGCCCCAACUCCCUCCGGGUUGGACGGUUGAGUGGGAUCCCUCCUUGGACGGCGAGGAGAGGGAUCACUGAUGUCCCGGUGGGCCUCACCAGGGAUGUCCGACCCCGACGAGUUAGCUUCCGCUAGUUGUUACCUUCUGUUGUUUCUCUUCUGAACUUGUAAACUCUGAUGUUGUUUUAUGGCCAAACUAAAUGGUUAAUUUGAUAACUCGGUGGACUUGUUGUAUUCUCUGGAACCGCUCACCUUCGUGUGGGUUUGCUAUUCGGUCCUAUUCAAGUGGUUAAAUCGGAUGAACUCCAACGGCACUUCAUGUUUACUCGGUUUAGGCGUGAGCGUCGCGUAUCAUGCGGCUUAAUCAUGUUUAACCAAGUAAAUUCGAAGUGGAUCCGCCACAACUACAUUAGCUAUGUUGAGGAGGUUGAGGUCUUUGCAACGAAUGUUGUGGAAGGCAUUAACGGCCAUUGUGACAUCACCUUUGAUUAUGUGCCAACACGAUUUGAAGAAAAGGCCGGUGAAGCUGUCCGGUCCUGGCACCUUGUUCUUUGGAAGCUCUAUGAUUGCAUGAAGUAUUUCUUCCUCUGAAAAGGGGCUAUCAAGCGCGCGUAGAUCCACCGCUGGAAAGUCCAUAAUCUCCCAGUUUAGGUCUCUAGUGCGAUGCUGCGGCAAGCACAUCAUGUUCUUAAAGUGGUCUUGAAUUACCCUUUGCUUGUCUUGGUGGGUUAUUGCCCAGCCACAUUCCUUCUUUAACCUCUGGAUGAAGUUUUUCCUUCUUCUAGCGUUCGCCUUUAGAUGGAAGAACUUUGUAUUUGCGUCUCCCUCGCAUAUGUAGGUGAUUCUGGAGCAUUAUUUUUUUCUUGUUUUUUCAAUAGCCGCCCUCCCAAAAGCCUCCUUUUUAGCUUAUGACGCAAGGAGUAUUCUGCGUUAGAUAGCGCUCUGGUCUCUUCAGCCGUGUCAAGGUGUACAAUGACCUCUUGGGCCAUGUGUAGCUUUAGUUUGGCAUCUGAAAUGAAUGACCUACUCCAUGCUUGAAGCGCGCGGGCAGUGGCAUGCAGCUUGUGCCCCAAUAUGUAAAAAGGCUCUGUGUGACUCAUCAGCUUGGACCAUUCUCGGGUGACUACUUCAUGGAAGCCAGGUAGGCACGUCCAGAAAUUUUCAAAUUUAAAAGGUGUCGGGCAUCUGGGCCCAGAUUGUUGCGCCAAUAGUAGCGGGCAGUGUUAGAGUGUGAGGAGGAAAGUGCAUGUAGGACAUGGUCAUUGAAGUAUAGAUCCCAGCUCUCAUUGCAGAAAACUUGGUCGAGCCAUAUUAAUGUUGGUCAACGCCUAGUGUUACUCCAGAUGUUGUGCAAAUGUAUUUCUUUUAGAUCGCAGUAAUUUAGUGCAGCUCUGAAAUGCCUCCUCAAUCGCCGAUUAAGAUUUCUAUUAUUCUUAUCUCUCGCCCUGUAAAUGAGGUCGAAAUGCCUAGGAUGAGCCAUCGCGUGUCGUCGGCCGGUCUCAUAGCACGUAGGUGUCGUAGGAAUGCAGGUUUUGCAACACGUCGUGACGGGCCAUACACUGUCGUUAGCUGGAAGGAUGAUGUGCUAUGCUUCACUACUGUUGUUGCCGAAAUGGAGAAUUGGCCAAUUUGAACAUCCUCUAUGUUGAUCACCCCGUUGUCCCAGAGGAUGAGGAUUCCUCCCUUUGUGCCUAGAGCUGGUUUGUAGGCAAAUUUGUUCAGGCCAUGCCCCCCAAGAAGGCAACUAGAUCCCCGUCGAUGUUUUGUAGUUUCAUUUCUUGCAAUGUGACAUGUUGUCAUUGCAAUUGUUUCACAAACCAUUAGACAUCUAGCCGGAGCAUUGAGACCUCGCACAUUCCACCACAUUACCUCAAAGUUGCCAAUCAUCUGGGAGUUGCUUUGUUCGCUGGCUUAAGUGUCACGAAUAGGCAAACAAAACAGUGCAGCGUGAGUUCAACUUGGAGAUCGCCUGAAGGUCAUGGCCAGCAGGGUGGAGUUUGUAGGUCAUGAAUUUUGCCUGAAGGUCGAUGCCAGCAGGGCUAGUCAAAUGUCCUCUCCGAAGGUCGCACCCAGCAGGGUGAGGAACUGAUGAUACAAUGCAAUAACGAUACAUUGCGUGCUAUUGACAUGCGUAGGUAGUGCGCCUUGUUUGGAUCAUCAUGGCACCACGUUCUACUUCUGCUGUAGGUCUUGUACCGGGUCGCCCACCAUCUGGAGAAGCGCUUCGUUCAUCUGGUCUGCUGCGUCAUCGUCGAGGUCGAAGAGAGCGGUCAUGGCUGCUAUGACGAACUCUGGAAGGCUCCCCUGGAACAUGCUGAUGAAGUCUUGGAGAACCUGCUCAAUUGGCGCCAAUUCGUCAUCACUGACGCUAAGCUUCCUCCUUAGGUUCCACUAUGCUCGCUCCAUAGUCGGCAUCGUCGGCUUCCUAGCUAGUCGCGCGCUUCGCCGCACCUCGUUCAUGUCAAAGGUGCAGUGCUAGCACGUGCGUCGCACUAGCUGUUGUUGUAGCGCCGGUGGUGCAGGGUUGCGAAAAGGUUCUGGACGUGCGGUGUCUGCGAGCAGCCGUUGACGGCCGGUGCUGGCUCACUAGCCGGAGGCACCAGGUGAUUGUCAUCUUCUACGCUUGCAGUUUCCCCACAUGGGACAGGCCAAGCAGCAUUUGCAGGCUUGUUGGGAGGCCCACUUGCCACGUUCACUGUAGGCAGGUUGGGAGGCCCGUUUAUGACAGCCUGCGUUUGGCCUGUUGCGACCUUUUGUGCCGAAGCUUUGUGGGCCUAUUGGCCCAACAUAUGGGCCUUCUUCGAGUAGGCCGCUUCCGUCAGGGCCUCCUAGCCCAGCCUUUCCGCUGUGUUCGAAGCUGUGUGGGCCUGUUGGCCUAACAUCUAUGCCUUCUUUGAGCCAGCCGCUUCCGCCAGGGCCUCCUGCCCCAGCCUUUCCGCCGUGGCCAUAGCAGAAGCAACCACCGGAGCCUCCUCUCUCGGUGUUGCAGCCGCAGCCACUGUGACGGCGGCCACCGCGACAUCGUCUCCCGGCCUCGCAGGCAUGGCCAUCGCAGCAAUGGUUGCCGAGCACUCCGCUCCUGGCGUCAUGGCCACGGCCAUAGUCGCCGCUGCCGAAGUUGUGAUCUCUAGGCAACGAAGAGCACGUUCGACAUCAGCGGUUGUUGGUGCCAUUACCAUAUUAAUUCUAUCAAAAACUCGGUUAGUAGAGAUUAGUGACUCACUAUGGACAGACCAGGUUCCAUUCCCGGUGAUGAGGUUCCAGCGUGCCGUGGCAGGGGCGUCGUCGAUGCCAAGCCGGUAAGCGAGGCGGCAUGCCUUGUCGAUGUAGCCCGCAGCAUCAUGAAGCCACACCUUCGCUAUGUCACCGAGACGUGCCUGCAUCCCUUUCUUGAGCGCCGAGGCCUGCGCACAAAAUAGAGCUUGCACUGUCGUAGGCUCCAUGGCUCUGAGCUCCUCCACAUUCGGCAAGGCAGGUGAGUUUGCAGAUGCGCAGCUCCCUCACUCCUGCGACGUCCACCAUGGAAUGCUCCGUCCCGGCGGCGUGGUGACCAUGUCGGCUCCCGCGCGCACGACAUCGUGCCGUUCGGGGUUGCGGUGAGUGCCACUAACCCCCCGGCCGGGGUGCGUGUAGUCGUCGCCGCUGCCGUCGUCGUCGUUGUCAUUGCGCUGAGGCUAAGUGAAUCCCCCUUCCUUGCAGGUGCGCCCAUCAGCGCGGCGCCUGCCGUCCCCACGCUUGUAGUCGCGCCUUCUGUCGCGCCUCUGCUUGCCAGCCGCUCACCUUUUGUCAUGCGGGUGCUCCUGGUCGCGGCCAUCGUGCUCGCGGGGUGGCUGAGAAAGGCGCACCGAGAACCUUGACCUUGUCUCCACUAGAGCUCCAUCCAUGAUGCCGUAGCGCCAAACGUAGGGACGUCAGAUCGGAGCGAAGGCGGCAGGGUUUGCCACCACGCCUAGCAGGUCAUGGGCUGCUGCCAAGUAGUCCUCAACGAGGCCAAUGUGAAGGAAAACCUCGUAGCGAAUUCCUUGCUGCUAGCGUUCCAGCAGCUCCUGUGACGCAGCUCCUGUGUGAUGAAGACCGUUGCCGUGGAUUUGUCGGAUGGCUUGUGGGUGAAGACUAGCCACAAGCGCUUGGGGAUCUGGCUCGGAUUGGCAAUCCACGCGUACAGGUCAAUAUGCCUCGUGUCCGUCGGUUGGACGAGGUCGGUGUUGAUGCACUGUAGGGCGCAUUUGCUACCAAUGACGCGUUCGACGAUGUCCGGCGUCCAAGCAUGGCUAGGGAUACCAUCAAAGUAGACCCUGUCGCAGUAGAAGAUCCACAUGCCCAGCGCGUGCGUGAGGCUGCGCCAGCGCUGCAGGCAAAUGUUGAUGUCAUUGCCCUAGAAUCUACCUUGUCGCCUUGCCUCAUCGCACUUGUCGUUGUGCUCGAACCGGAUUAGGAAUGGCUCCGGUUGGUUGCUGGUGAUGGUGAUGGUGCCACGGCGCAGCUGCAGCUUGUUGAGCAGGAGGGUUUCAAUGUCCUGAGCCCCAGCGCACCGUGGCAGGUGGAUUGCCCACGAGACCAGUGUGCAUCCCUCCAAGCCACGGGCAUCCUGUUCGAGGUUGAAGGAGUUGGGGAUGAAGACCGUCCCACAUCAGGACGUGUGUAGGGUCUCCAAUCGCCAUCGGCUUGACGCCCGGGUGCAGCGACAGUGGCGGCGGUGGAUGAGGCGUAGGAUAUGACGGUUGAGGCAGCGGGGGCAGAGGAGUUGGUGGCGGUGGAUGAGUUGUGGCCCGGCGCACUGGGGAGUUGAUUUGCUGGUGUCAGUGGUCCGGAGUCGGGGUUGGGCGUUGCUGACGGCGGGCAUGACAGUGGCAUUCCCGGUACCCCGACCGGCGACAGCAGAAGCACCAAACUGGGUCUCUGCAAGCAGACGCGCGAUGGUCCCAGGCGAGGCAGUUGAAGCACCUCCCCGCGGUGGCCAGAUUGAAGGCUUGGAGAGUUGCGGUUGGCCGGCACCUUGAAGAUGGCCUUGAAGAGGGGUCUUGUCGGCCGUCGCGCUGGCGUGGGCUGGCACGCUCAAGACGCAUUGAAUGUCGUCUGUGGCCUCGUACCACUAUCCAGCCCGACUCCAUGCCAUGUCUUGUACUGCCUCCUGCUCGAGCAGUCUCCUCGGCUCCGGUGGAUUUGGGCCUUGUUUACUUCCCAAGUUGGGAGUUGCAAAAUUGGCAUUUUGCUAUAAAUGCGACACUGUAGCGUUUCGUUUGUAUUUGUGAAUUAUUGUCCAAAUAUUGACUAAUUAGGCUCAAAAGAUUCGUCUCGCAAAGUACAACAAAACUGUGCAAUUAGUUUUUGAUUUCGUCUACAUUUAGUACUCCAUGCAUGUACCGCAAAUUUGAUGUGAUGGGGAAUCUUCUUUUUGUAUAGUGUUAAAGUUGGGAGUUUGGAGGGAAGUAAACAAGGGCUUAGAUGUGGGGACGGCGUGGUGGAGUAAAGGCUGUAGCAGGGAGAUCCUGGUGCGCAGGUGAGCGGCGAGCUAGCGGAUCUUGGGCAGGCGGUGGAGUAAAUGCUGUUGACGGGGGGCCUGACCUGCCGCGGCGGACGGCUUCCGCGUAGGUGGAAAGGGGUUUUGGCGUGGCCAGCACCGGAUCCAGUUGGGGGGAGCACGGAUCCGGCGUGGGUGGCACCCAAUCGACCUCGUCGGUCAGCGGGCAACCAUGGCGUGGCGGCAGAGGUGGGGAAUCGAGGAAGAAGCUCUCCCACGGGCUUUGCUGCGCCAGGGUGGAGGACGCGUGGAUCUGCUUUGGUGCAGUUUGGUGUUGUGGCUGGCGGCUCAGGAUCUUUGGUGGGGUGGGCGGGUUGGGCUCCGCCGUCCGCCGGCGGCGAGGGGACGACGACGGGAGGGGUAGCGGGUUGGGGGCGCACAUUUGUCUCUGCAGGAUACCGGUCGGGGGCGCACAUCCUGUCAAACGCCUUGCAUUGCUGCUUGCUUGACUAUUUGAGUUAGGUUCCAAAUACCGGUGCAUCAAUUUUAAUUUUUUCUGAGUAAUUAUUCAGGUUCCUACCAGAAGUUAACCUUUAAGGUUGACAGUUGAUACCCACAUCUAACUGAACCAAAAAAAAUCUACUUAAUCCAAAUGCACAUGAUCUCAUUGCAAAAUCGGAGUACGUUUCUCAAACAGUAUAAGCACCAAAUCAAAUUGAUGUACGCAUCUGAGUAUCUGACUCAACUUAAAAAUCACAUCUGUGAGUAAAUACACGGAAGAACGGAGCAGUCGAAGUGCAUGAUACUUACAUGGUUCCUUAAUACCUGAUGCUUCUCCGAUUCUCCCAAAGCAACAAGGCUAGAGCAGGCGGGCGUACCCAAGGAACUACCCAAUAGUGGCGCGAGAUUGGAUCCUGCAGUCCUCUCCAUCUGCAGCCCCAAUCACCGGCACCGAGUCGGCGAUGCGGCAAGGCGUAGACUGGGGAGAUUUCCUCAUGGGAUAGUACCAGCUGCGAGUGCGCCGUAGGAGAUGGCCGAGAAUGCAGUGGCUGGGGAUGGUUCUGUUCACCGCCGCGCAUCUCGACGGACGACGGCGAGACGGGUAGACGACGCCGGCGCAGGGCGGAUCUCCAUGGACUAGGCCACCAUGCUCUACGCAGCCGAGCCCAUUCAGUGGUGAGGGCCCAUCAUCAAAAGUUGGACCGUGAUGCGUCCUGGGUCCAUCCAUAUGCCCGCCGUGCCGUAAACUUGUGCCGGUCUGAGCCAGACAUCUUCCAUCCCGUUGCUUUGCCUUCGAUGGCUCAAUAUACAAUCUGUCACAAUUCAGUCCAAAAAAAAAGAAAAAGAAAGAAAAGAACACAAUUUGUCAGAGAAAUUCCACACUCUUAUUGUAAAACUUGGUGCUGCAUUGUAAUUAUCCGCGCUCUGCAGAUUCCGAUAGACGUCACGUCACUACUUGAGAAGGUUGGUAAGGUGUUUUUUUUCCGCGAUCAUACCUUAGCACGUAUUUCAUUAAGAGAAGAAGAAAAGUUUGGUUACAAGAACUUGCAGCGUCAUCUGAGAUUGAUGACCUGCUAGCGCAUACAAGAAUUAAGAAGAAAUUACAUUUGCACCUUGCUGCGACCCUACUAACAGGUUACCAGGUAUGAUGUUGGGGUGGGCGGCUGCUGUAAAUGGCGCCAGGCAAUGAAAUCCUGCCAAAAUGGACAGCAUCCCCGUCGUCAUCUGAGCAUGAUUGAAAGUUCUUUCAUUUCUUUCCAACCAAAUGGACCAACCCACCAGGAUAAUGAGAGAGUCUAAUGUUUUCCUGGCUGACCUAUCCACACGUUUUCUCACUACUAGCCACCAGUCAGGAAAGGAGGACUCAGAAACAGAGGGUGCUAAGUGCUGCCAAUUCAGUUCCGAUAGAAUAAGAUGCCACAACUCCCUUGCAUAGACACACCUAACUAGCAGAUGGUUUAUGGUUUCAGACUCCUGGGUACAAAGAAUGCAAGUGUCGUCAUUUUAAAGAUUAUGUUUCUUGCGUCUAGAGGCUGUCCAGCAGCGUCCAUUGAUAGCAAGCCAUAUGAAGAAUUUGCAUUUAGGGGGUGCUCGGGUCUUACACAAAGCCUUUGCCCCAUGUAUUUCAUACUGUCCAAUGAAGAAUGCAUUGUAGGCCGAUGCCGUUGAGAAGUUCCUGUCUUGAGUCCAUUUUCACAAUACCUUGUCAAGUGUAUCCUCCUGUAAUGUGAUCUGUUGUAACUUGGUCCAAAUGCUUAUGUAUUCAAGAAGAACUCGAACAAUCAAUGCUCCAGUAAUGUCCCUGACCCAUUUUCCAUCUUGCAAUCCUUCACUUACUGUCCUUUUUUUUGCGAGCUCUAGGACCAAUCGCCUGAAGGAGACAUGGAGCAAUCUCUGCAAUCGAGCGACCGUCAAUCCAUCUAUCCUCCCAUAAAAGGAUGUUCUUGCCGUCGCCUACUUGAGUUGAGGUGGAGUAGUAGAACAAUUGGGCGACCUGCUGUUCAAUUGAAUCAGGUAAGUUAUGCUAUGAACGUGAAGUGUCAAUUUUCUUAAGCCAGAACCACCGCAUUCUUAGAGCAUAUCCCAUGAGGCGUAGGUCCGUAAUUCCUAGACCUCCCAAAAUAGAAGGUCGACAGCAUUUCGUCCAUGCAAGGAGACAAUGACCGCCAGAAAUCAUUUCUGUACCUUUCCAUAGAAAGGCCUUCCUGCGCUUGUCUAUUUGCUUGAUUGCCCAUGAAGAGAUGGCGACCGCGAUAGCCGUGUGAAUUGGAAUGGCUGACAUUUUUACCUUAACUAAGACUGUGCGUCCUGCCCUGCUCAUUAGCUUCGCCUUCCAUGUGGGCAAUCCAUCACAAACCUUAUCCACCAACUGCAUCAGGUCAUUCCUGCGAAGCUUUUUGACUGACAGCGGUAUUCCCAAGUACUUGCAUGGUAGGGGUUCGAGAUGACCGGGGAAGAAUUUGAGCAGCCUGAUUAUCUGUUCCAGGUCGCAUUGUAUGGGAGAGACAAGGCAUUUGUCUAGGUUUGUUUUAAGACCGGAUGCAGCUCCAAAGGUUGGUAAGGUGUUGGUUUCAGAAAACUGGUGCAUACGGUGCUAGUCCUCUCCUGUGAUUGCACUCAGCUCGUCCUCCGAUUCUGAUGGCUCUUGGAGUGGUCGACGUCGACGGUGUUGUUGCCCCAGACCGUCUCCACGGGCCUCCCGGCCGCCGCCGAUCUCCCAGACCAUGUUGAUUUUGUAACUGCACCAAACCGCACCGAUCAGCUUUAUUUAUACACUGAUUUAUAACUGAAGGCUUCCUCUGAGAAAUCAAGGGAGUGGUAUGGAUUUGCGAAAUGGGACUCAUCCAUCGGACUGGGACUGCACAAGUUUGCAUUUAGAAGAGGGAUCAGGGAUGGAUGCAUAUAUAUAAUCUUUUUUCCCUAGUACAAUAGUCAGCAACAUGAGUGGAUGCUCAUAGCAGGAUUUGGCAUGUCCAUCUGCUAGUUGCAUGGCUUAUAAAUCCACUGCAUCUUGGCAGCACAUUGGCGUUGCUUUAGUCCUGCCCCUAUCGAUCCUUCGUAGGUCCCUUGCAUUUGUUUUCUUGCAUUGUAUUAGUAUAAAAAAAACAAGUUCUGGUUCUGCUCGUGCAACAAAUAGUCAUAGAGAUACUUUGACGUGGAAUAGUCAGAUUAGACUGACCAACCAGCAGUGUUGGAGGAGACUAGACUUGGACCUACUCCCGGCUCCCACACGGCCACGGAAAUUGAAUUAAGUUUCUGUCAGUUCAGCUCAGAAGACUAACCUGUCAAACUUCGCCUACAACAGUUGCAUUCGUCGAACCAUCAUCAUUCGCUGACUUACCACUUUCAUAACUUUCUCAGGGAAAAAUAAAACCAGCCACCAACAUGGUCUGGUGAUUGCCGGCUUCUCCUCUGCGGCACCUUGUUAGCACACUUGCAGUCCCUCCUAUCGCGUUGCAAAGAUGCAACCGUCCCUUGCUCCUGCAGCCGCCGUGCUACUGCUCGCUCUGCUAACCAGUCACACCGCCACUGCUGCCGUAAACACGUCGACGCCGUGCGCGACAGCCUCGUGCGGGAACCACACCGUCGACCUGAACACGUCGACGCCGUUUGCGCCGGCGCUGUGCGGGAACCUCACCAUCGCCUACCCGUUCUGGCUCGCCGGCACGCAUCCGCCGGAGUGCGGCUACAUACAAGGCCUUCCAGGUUACGUGCGACAAGCAUGGCAACCUUUCCAUGACGACGAACUCUCGUAGAAAUAUGAGAGAAGUUGGAUUACAAUGCGACCGUGUCCUCGUAUUUAUUUAUAGGGGAGCGAGCACCUUACAUAAUUACAACACCCAGUUCUAUUUAUAGAGGAGCUCGAAGAGCACUGAACCGUCAAAUAUUUCACUCAUUCAUUCCUUUUAGCAAAAGAAUCAAUUAGUGCUAUUUAUGGAUUUUCUAAAUUAAUAUUCUAUAUGGUAUUUCAGGUGGCCAUAAUGGCAGGAUUACAAUACUGAUAGGUAUAUGCCACAAUUCGACAUAAUUUCAUAUCAAGUAAUGCAAAUUUCAGUACUUAUUUAUUGAACAAGUUACUUUUUAGUUCUAGUCUUUGGAAGACCAUAGAAGAGCUAUUAUAACGUUAUCAUAUAUGUUUGUGCAUAGACUCUAAAAUGAAAUUUUAGAACAAGUUAUCCUCAAGCAGUGUCUUCUAUUAUAAAUUAAACAAUUUGGAGCAAGAUCCGUUGUCUUUAAUUAUAUAGUUUUUUCCUAUUUUCCCACUAAGCACUUCUUCUUUUAUUUUAUUUCCAUAAAAAGCGACAGAAACGAAUUAUUUCUGAUCUUGAAAAUCUGAACAAUAAUAAUAUAACUCACUGCUUCAAGAGAAAAAUAACAUCCGCUUUAAUUUCAGUUUUGAUGACAGUUGCUACAGGCUUGGUCCUACCAUGUGUAUAUGUGCAAGCUUUGCCUCCCCUUGCACACAUCCCCAUUCCCCAAUCCCCUCCAUUCCGCAGCCUCCUAGCUCCUAUACUGAUCGAAAAACAAGCUUGAUGCAUCCGGCCCUGGUCCUCUUCCCGCUGGCCGCCUCCUUGCUCCUCCUCCAAGACCAUGCAAGCGCCGACUGCGAGCCGGCGACAUGCGGGAACCUCACUCUCAGAUACCCAUUCUGGUUGGGCAGCGGCAACCAGACCUCAUCACCCUGCGGCCACCCGUCCUUCGAGAUCCGGUGCAGCGACGACCGCCGCCGGAGCGUAGCCUCACUGAAGGGCUCCUCCAUCCACGUCCUCUCCAUCGAUUACGCCAACUACUCCUUCGUCGCCUCCCACACCAGGGUCGCCGCCGCCGACGGCGUGUGCCGCACCGACUUCAACAUGUCGGUCAGCAUCGCGAUCAGCCAGUUCACCAUUAGCCCCCGGAACCGCGCCCUGUGCUUCCUCUACAACUGCACCGGCGGCGCGGCCCCGAUCGGGCCCGACGAGUACGUGAACGCCACCUCCAGCUGCCGUGCCCCCAUCUACGCGUACCUCGGCGGGGCCUACUACUGGGACAAGCCGCCGGCGAUCGCGACGGACGGGUGCACGUACACGUACUUCCCAGUGCUGGGGCGGGAGCCGGAGACCAUGACGGCGGCCAACUACAGCCAGCUCCUGAAGGACGGAUUCGUCCUGGAGUGGGAGGCGGCAGGGAUCGGGAUCGGCGACUGCGCCGCCUCCGCCUGCAACGCGAGGGGCGGGAAGUGCCGGUACGACAACGCCACCGCGGCGUUCCAAUGCCUCUGCCCCGACGGCUGGCGCGCGGCGGGGUCGACAUGCUCCGGUGAGUUGUCACUCUCCCACUUCCCUCCGUACACGUACAGUAGUCAGCGUGUGUGGACGCCGGCGGGCGACCCGGCGCAUGCCGCUUUCAGCUGCAAGACUUUCUUGGUCCAUUGCAUCAUGCGGAUUGCGGCGUGGCGAAGGCGCAGCGGCGCUGGCGCAUGCAUCGGCGUCGCGGUAGUGCUGCCCAUGGGGUUGGAUCCUCGUAGGCCCCAUGGAGAUUUUGCACGCAGCUCUCGCUCUCAGUAACCUUGGCUAGUUUCCCUCGAUCCACCGGUAGAAUGGCCCGCGGCAGCUGGAGUGAUGGCUAUCUUAAGACUGUGUGGCGCGCGGACUGGCCACGCCGCAAUCCCUGGUAAACGCGUGUGCGGUCAAUGUCGUCUUCCCUGCCGGGUGCUCGCCGCGGCGCGGAGCAACAGGGGAGGGGGCCUGCCGCUGCCGGGCGUCGUUUUCGCCUGCCAUUAGCUUCUCCACGUGCUCUUUCGCGCAUGAUCGUUCCCGUUGGUGCGCUGACACAUCAACGGUAGGGUAUAUCAUCACUUGCCUCAAGCUUCAGCUUGAUCCAUAUCUUAUUGCUAUUAGUAGGUUGCCGUUAGCAUUGCUGACUUGCUGUCUUUGCUGAAGUGUCCAUUUGUGGCAAGUGGGUGCACUAAGUGCGUAAGGCUAGGGUCACAAGUGGCCACCAAAUCUGCACUUCUGAUUUUCUAGUCAAAAUAAUAAGGGGCACUUUUUAUGGACAAGUAUCUCAAGUAGGUUUACAUGAUAGUCUUUGGAUCCCAGUCCAAAUUACAGGCAAAUAUUGUCUUGCAGUGUUUGAUUUAUAAAUAUGAACAAAAAAAUCCAAAUUGCCAUAGGCUUUGUUCAUAAGCUUAGAGCUUGGAGCUUUGCCGUAAAAAAGCAGCAUGAAUAACCAUUUAGAUGGAAUGCAUAAGAAAAACACAUGACUUUGAGACGAGAGAAGAAAUCAAAAUUUUAGUGUGACAUUGAGCCUCAUGGUAGAAUCCCUUCAAAAUUCCAAUGGAAUACAACAAUUUAUAAGAAAAUUCUAGGAUACAUAGGAGCCCGUUAUUUGGUUACACAUAUUACCAUGAUGUCAACAGAAUUUGUAUAUAUCAAUUUGAUCUUGACCUAAAACUUUAAAUUGAAUGAAAGAAUUCAUAUGUUUCAAUUGUAAAGAUACAUGACUUCUGACUAGUAAAAACAGCUUUCAACUAUCAAAUACCAACUUUCAGUGGAACCUUGAUUGGAAAUUCCAAUCAAAGAAUUCAGAUUUUGACUUCCAAUAUUCAUACAUUCAAACAAGCCAAAAUAUGCUUUGAGUCUUGACCCUGACUUCAAACUAUCAAAUUCUUACUUUAAAGUGUUUGAUUCGACAAUUGGCAUGAAGGAUAUACUACUAUCAAAAAGGGGAAAGGGAAUUCAACUCAAAGAGAAAGCUUUUGAUACAAAAUGUUAUAAUCUUUUCACCUAACAUAUAGGGCAGGGGGCCCACUAUGGUUAUCUUUACAAAAAAGUUAUACUACUUUACUGUUACGUGUGCAGCUAUAUAUACUCUUUUCUCUCACCAAAACUUAAAAUGAACUGACGUAUACCUCGACCUUGACCUCAACUUUUAGGAAGAGAAUUCAAAUGUUUGAACUAGGGUGAUCGAUGACUUCCAACUAGACAAAAAUAACUUUCAACUAGCAUGCCAACUUUCAAUGGAGCCUUGAAUGGAACUUUCAAUCAUAGAACUCAGAUUUUGACCCUUCCACUUAAUUUCAUCAAUUGAAACUAGCAAAAGUAUGCUUUAAAUUAUCCGCAUCUAAAACAAUAUUUCAAGUUCUAACUUUAAAGUGUUUGACUCAACAAUUUCCAAGCACAAUACUAUCAAAAAGAGAAAAGGGGAUCCAACUCAAAGAAGGAAAAAACAUCGUACUUGAUAUAAAAAGAUAUACCAAAAAUGCUUGGUCUUUUUACGUACUUCCUCCGUUUCAAAAUGUAGGUCGUUUUGAUUUUUUGAGAUUUAUAGAUUUUGUUAUGUAUCUAGACAUAAUGUAUAAUGUAUAUCUAGAUGCAUAUCAAAAUCUAUGAAUCUAGAAAAGUCAAAACGAUCUACAAUUUGAAAUGGAGGGAGUAACUAAAGGCACAACCCCACUAGAGGUCUUUCUCCGUAGAGUAUGGCAUCCAAUCAAUUCAUCAAUCAAGCCCACCAGUACCAUACGCCAUCUUGUUUCUCACCUCGAACCGGUCCUCUUCCCCAUCUCCGAUUAUUUCUCUAUGGUGCCUUCACCUCUCCUCCAUCAUUCUCCUUUCUAGCAGCUCAUUCGCCGGAUCUACCCCAGCUACCACCCGAACCCUACGGAUAGCAAUUCCCCUAGCCACAUCAGCAAUUCGUCUACGUGGUAGUGUAUUUAUUGCUAUGGAAACUAUCCUCGUCACUGCGUUGGGACUGCCCUGAUACGUGAGAUGAGUUUCAUGAGACGCGCAGUUAUCUAGUUCUCAAUCUUAAUAAUUAUGUAAUAAAACUGUACACUGAGACUGGCCUUAAAAGAAGACUUGAGACUUGGGUCUUGGGUCAGUGGUGAGUGAGUGGUGACUUCAGCGCAUCUUUCCCAUGCACGGCAACCACAAGACUACCUGCAUGAAAGGUAAAAGUACAAUGCACCGGCAAUUUUCGAUCUCGUACUUCUGCGCAAGUAAACUGUUCAACUCUUCCACCAAAAUCUGCCUCGCCAUGCAUCACUCCUCCACAUCACCAUAGAUUCCUGCUACAGCUAUCAUUUUAUCUGUUGCCAGGCUGUUCCUCUGCUCCCCAUCGCACUCAACCAGUGUUCGAUCACCAUGAUAUGCAAAGAUGUGUUCACUUUUGAAGAUUGUCGAAAUGCCCAGUCAAACAUUUCGGCAGCUACAGUCAACACAGCCACACAGUGACACAGGACGCGCGGGCCCACCUUCGCUAUUUAGUCGGUCACUUUAGCGGUUGUGCCUCAUGUGCUCCCAUCACCGAUUCACCCCUUUGUUCGUUUCGUCGCUACUGCAAUAGUCUAAACCUUCCCACUCUUCUCCGAUGGCUCCGUCCUUGCUGCUCUUCCUCGUCUCGUCGGUGCCGCUGAUUCUUGCUGCCGGAGAAGAGCACUGCCCGACCGUGCCAGUGGCAUGCGGCAAAGUCAACAUCACCUUCCCGUUCGCGAUCGUCCCGGAUGAGGCCACGGAGACCAGCUGCGGUUUGAUUGGGUUCCAGGUUCGUUGCUCGAACAACACCCCGUACCUCGGCUACCAUAAUGGGCUCUACGGACACCAGUUCCAGAUCCUCGACAUCUUCUACAACAACGCCUCCUUGCUCCUUGCCGAUGUCCACAAGCUCCAAGACUUCAAUAACUCUGCUUCGGAAAAAUGCCACGCCCCGACGAACAACAGCUCCAACAAUCUCGGUAUUCCGUUCUCGAUCAGCCCUAUUAACCAGAACCUGAUCUUCUACAACUGCACGAAGCCCCUGUCGGAGGAGGAGAGGUGGAGCCGCGGGCUUGUGGAGACGACCUGCGGGAACAUGACGUUCGUUCGCGUCGCCGGGCGUUCCGACGGCUUGGGAAGCUACGACAGCUACUUUUUGGAGGGCUGCAACUCUACCGUCGUGCCGGUGCUUGCGAGGUAUGGCCAUGCGAACGCGAGCAACUACAAAGAGCUCAUCAGCGAUGGCUUCGUCUUGACAUGGGAGGCGCCACUGAAGUCAGGUAUAUUUCACUCUUCCAACUAAUACAUCACUUCGACCUAUAGAAGAACCUUGGAACAGCCAGACAUUUCCUAGCACUCCCCUUAGAACGAGCCUCAUCAGCGUAAGGCGUAGAGACUCCAGAGUACGGACCUGACGACCCAACCCACUGAUUUGAUAAGGGCGUAGCGAAACGCAUGUCGUCGUCCCCAACCGCGGUAGGCGUGUUCGCCGCCGCCACUCUGCCGUCCGGCGUACGUCCGUCAACACACAAGUCAAUGAGAUAUUAACACCGGAACAAAUAAAUACAGAAAGGAAAAUAAAAGAAAGAGACAAAAAAAGAGGACCAAUCAGACGGUUGGAGGGACCACGACCAGUCAAACCGCUCGUCACCGUCCUUUCUCCCCUCACCUCAUAUCCGCUCCGCCCCCCAGUCCGUUCCACUCCUUGUUCUCCUCCCUCACCGUCACCGAACUCCAAACCAUUCCACUGCCACCCCAUCCACAAUCCGAUACGCAUCCGCUCCUGCUACUCCUGCUCCUGCUCACUUCCUUCCUCAUCCGGGCGGCGGCGGCCAGCGUGGAGAAGUCGUCAGGCUGCUGGCCGAAGGCUACUGCCAUCGUCGAACCUUCACGUGCUCCCAUGGCUUCGGCCUUGUUGGUCUUCCUCGCCUCGUCGGUGUGGGUGGCCUUCUCGGCACCACUGAUGCCUGCUCCAGCAGCAGAUAGGCAAGGCAGAGAGCACUGCCCGUCCCAGCUAUGCGUCAUUGUGAACAUCUCCUUCCCGUUUGGGCUCGUUCCGGAGGAGGACGCCGUGACGCACUGCUAUGCACUGUUCCUGGUUCGUUGCCGUAACAACACCCCAUACCUCGGAUACUAUCAGACCGAGUUCUUCAUGCAGAUCCUCAGCAUCUUUUACGACAACGCCUCCUUGCUCAUCGCUGAGACCCAGGAUCACAAUGACUCUAGACACCUGGAACUAGGCUGCUACAUCCCGACAGGCAACGCCACCUCCAAGAUCGGUCGUCCGUUCUCGAUCAGCCCCCUCAAUCAGAAUCUCAUCUUCUACAAUUGCAUCAAGCCGCUGCCGCCAUCCGUGGGGCUUGCAGAGACGAUGUGCCGCAACAACACGUAUGUUCGCGUCGCUGCCGAGCGUUACGAUGGUCAUGGCAGCUACUUCUUGGAGGGCUGCAACUCUACCGUCGUGCCGGUGCUUGCGAGGUAUGACCAUGCGAACGCGAGCAACUACGAGGAGCUCAUCAGCGAUGGCUUCCUCUUGACAUGGGAGGUGCCACUGAAGUCAGGUAUAUUUCACUCUUCCAACUAAUACAUCACUUUGUCCUAUAGAAGAACCUUGGAACAGCCAGACAUUUAGCACUCCCCUAGAACGAGUCUCAUCAGCGUAAGGCGUAGAGACUCCAGAGUACGGACCUGACAACCCAACCCACUGAUUUGAUAAGGGUGUAGCGAAACGCAUGUCGUCGUCCCCAACGGCGGUAGGCGUGUUCGCCGCCGCCACUCUGCCGUCCGGCGUACGUCCGCCAACACACAAGUCAAUGAGAUAUUAACACCGGAACAAAUAAAUACAGAAAGGAAAACAAAAGAAAGAGAUUAAAAAAAGAGGACCAAUCGGACGGUUGGAGGGACCACGACCCGUUGCAGCCGCCACCGCCACAGCCACCGUUGCAACCGUGAGCAGGUAAGUUCACUUUUUUAAACGAAUAAAAUACGAUUAGUAGGAUGAUGCUUUGGCUUUGACCUAUAAAAAACUAAGGGCCAGUUUGGCAGGGCUCCGGCUCUGGCUCCGUGCGCUUACCGAAGCACGGAGGAGCCGGAGCCGCACCAAACGGCAUUGACCGCGGAGCCAUUUUUUGGCACAUUUGGGAGGAACCGGAGCCGUUUUAGGCCUGCAUGGAGGAGCCCAAAAAAGUGGCUCCGCGGCUCCGGCUCCGGCUCCACACGAGGAGCCCCUCGCGAGGAGCCCUGCCAAACUCGCCCUAAGCCUAGUUCUAGUUCAAGGAUUCCUCUGUUCUCUCAAACAAGAGCCACAUCGAAGGUACUAAAUAGUGUUCGUAACGAUCGUUAUAGAGGUAGCAGUACUCUACCGCAACAAAGUAGCGGACCCAAGAUAGCAUGUAUAGACUUAACAGCCGCUAUUAUCCACUAUUGCUCGCUAUUGCAGCCUCUGUUGCUCAUGUUAGGCCGCUAUUCGCUAUAUUUACAGUUCAAGUGAUAUAUGACCAUGAAUCAAAUCAAAUGGUUAUAAUAAUGUUUAAAAUGGUUAUUUAGGUAAUGACCAAGAGUUAUUGAUGAAAAAUAAUUUUUUUUAUUUAUUGAUAUGGGAAGUUAAUGUUAAUAUAUAUCCAUACAUCUUAAUUAUACCUAUUUAUUUGUGAUUCUUACCAUGAAAUGUAAACUUGAUGUUAAUAUUCAUAUAUGCUUUAAAAUUGUGACUAUUUUGUGAAUUCCGCUAUUUGAACUUAGCGUCCGCUAUAGCAUCCGCUAUCCGCUACAUCAGCACUAAUUUGCUACCAUACUGCUAAAUGCUAUUUAGUACCUUAGCCAUAACAGGCUAGCAGGGAGCUAGAGACCAUGUAGUAUGGACUACGGACCUGGCAACCCAAACCACCAACCAGCAUACUAUCCACGCUGAUGAUUUGAUAAGGGCGUAAGCCGGUUGUCAUCCCCAACCGUGGCCGCUGCCACUUGUUGUCCGGUAAGUCAAUGAGAUGUUAAAACUUAAAUAAACAAAUUCAGAGAGAUGGAGGCAUGAACCACGACCGGUCGCCACCGUCCUUUCUAGUUUCUCCUAUCAUCUCAUAUCCGUAUCCGUCCCGCUAUCUGUUCCGUGCUCACAUUCCUCCGCCAUUGCCACCCCAUAUGCCUCUGCUUCUCCUCCUGCUGCUCGCUUCCUUCCUCCUCCUCCACUGGGCAUCAAAUGAUGAAAAUCAUCUUCAUGUUUAGUCAUAAAUUCUUCUUUUUCCUUUUCUUUUAGGCUUUCUUCUGCCUAUAUAUACUGUCAAGUCUUAUUUGCAGUAACAAAAGUAGUUCAGCUAUAGACUAAAGAGGGCAAAGUUUUCAUGUCAGACUAACUUAAACUGCACAAUUUUACAAUUGAAAUGACAAGCUAUUCACAGUGACUGUUCUUAUGCAGGAGGAAGCAAUAGGAAAAAGAUAGUCAGUAUCAGUGAGUAUCAACUCUCAACCUUCAUGGCUUAUCUAUUAUACUUGAUCUCUUUUCCUGCUCUACUGAAACUUUGUAGCAUCAUAUGUUUUCAGCAUCUAUUUGAUUAAUUAGUUAUUGCAUAUUGCUAACACCUUUACACUGUUAUUGCAUAUUGGGAAAUUUGGAGGAGGAUUUGUUGUCUUUGAUUAUAUGGCUUCUUCAUAUUUUCUUACUUUGCACUUCUUCUUUUGUUUUUUUUGUAUAAAAAAGAGAAAAAUAUGAAUUGUUGACGGUCUUGGAAAUAUGAAUGAUAAUAAUAUAGCAGCUCACUGUUUCAAGAGAAAAAGAGAAAAAUAACAUAUGCUUUAAUUUCAGUUUCGAUGACAGUAGCUGCAAGCUUGCUCCUACCAUGUAUAUAUAUGCUUGUAUGGCAUGGAAAGAGAGGAAAGCUACAUUUUUUCCUAUGUGAAAAGACUAGCAAAAGCACUGAAAGGAACAUUGAGGCCCUAAUAGUUUUGCAUGGAUCCCUAGCUCCAAAAAGAUACAAGUACUCACAAGUAACAAAGAUAACGUCUUCCUUUAGUGAUAAGCUUGGGGAAGGUGGUUAUGGUUCGGUUUUCAAAGGAAGGCUAGAUGAUGGUCAUCAAGUUGCUGUGAAAUUCUUACACGACUCCAAAGGAGAAGGGGAGGAUUUUGUUAACGAGGUUAUGAGCAUUGGCAGGACCUCUCAUGUUAAUAUUGUUAGCUUAUUUGGGUUUUGUUUGGAAGGCUCAAAGCGGGCCCUAAUAUAUGAGUACAUGCCCAAUGGUUCUUUGGAUAAGUUCAUAUACUCAGAGAGUCCUAAAGCAGUUUUAGGAUGGGAUAAGCUCUACACAAUAGCGAUUGGAAUUGCUCGAGGAUUGGAAUACUUGCAUCAUAGUUGUAAUACACGCAUUGUCCAUUUUGAUAUCAAGCCUCAAAAUAUCCUUCUAGAUGAGGAUUUUCACCCAAAGGUUGCUGAUUUUGGUUUAGCCAAAUUGUGUCAUACCAAGGAGAGCAAGCUUUCUAUGACUGGUGCUAGAGGAACAGUUGGUUUUAUUGCUCCUGAAGUUCACUCUCGAACCUUUGGAGUUGUUUCAACAAAAUCAGAUGUUUAUAGUUAUGGAAUGAUGUUAUUAGAGAUGGUUGGAGGCAGAAAAAAUGUGAAAUCAGUUGCUCAGAAAUCAAGUGAAAAGUAUUUUCCACAUUGGAUUUAUGAUCGUGUUAGACAAGGUGAUGGAUUACAAGCAUGUGAGGUCUCAAGUGAAAAUGAAGGAAUAGCCAAAAAGAUGAGUGUGAUUGGCUUGUGGUGCAUCCAAAUACUACCAAUGCAUCGCCCUACAAUAGCAAAGGUUUUGGAAAUGUUUGAGCGAGGUUUAGAUGAUUUGGACAUGCCACCGAGACAAAACUUCAGCCAAAUUCUGUAAGAUGUUCACGCUACUUAUUUCUGGAACUACUCACUACUAUUUACUAUAAUGUUGAUGUUUUAGAAACAAUUCUUUUCAUUCUUUUGCAGCGAAGAUCCAUGUUGCAAUUUGAAUGCAGAAAGCACGAGUACAAGAAGUGGUACCAAAACUCAAGUUUUUAGCGAAGUGCUAAAAAUGAAGGAGAUGAGCGUUGUGAAUUCAAAAAGUUUACAUCGGUUACCAACUCUGUGACAAGGUUACCUAGCAUUGGAAUUAUGCACUGAACUUAUGCAUCUAUAUGAGCUAGGGUAGAAAUCUUAAGUUACUCUGAUACUUGUCUCAAAAGAAACAUGCUCACUAUACUAUUUUGCAUUCAAAGUCAUUAAGGCCCCAAGAAGGAAAGUUUUGCAACUAUGCAUACGAUAUUUUGACAUAAUCCUAACAUUUCUAUAUCUUUGUUAGUUAGACCUACAUAAUCCUAACAUUUCUAUAUCUUUGUUAGUUAGACCUUCUCAUUGUUCUUCACUGACGCACCAGCACCCCUUAUAGUCAUCCAUCACCCAAAAUUUACCAAACGCUAAUGACACAUCUGUACCAGAAUCAGGUAAAUGAAAAGGUAUCCAAGGCAUUACACAUACUAGAAAAAAAUCAAGGCAUUAUAGUUUUCGAGUCACGGCCUUAUUAGUAGAGUCGAUCAAGCAUAUAGUUGGAUCCUAAAUUAUUGCCAUGUUGAAAUAUGAGGAUGAAGGCAUAAAGUUGAUCGUAGCCAUGAGUCAUGACACAUGUAUAACUGAGGCCUAAAGGAUCAUAAAUUUUGCUUGACAGUUAUGUAGUUUCUAAAUUUAACCUUCCGGUUCCUAACAAAAGUUAAGGUUGAUAGUUGACACCCACAAGCCGUCCAACUGAACCCUAAAAAGAAAACUACUCAAUCCAAAUACUCGUGGUCUCAAUGCAAAAUCAGAAUACAUUUUCAAACAAUAGAAGGACCGAAUCAGAUUGAUCUACGCAUCUGAUAACUAAAAAUCACAUAUGUGGGUAAAUCGAUCAUAAAUCUUGUGGAAGUACGGAACCAGGGGCGGAUCCAGGGCCCGGGCUGCUCGGGCUGCAGCCCGGGGCGAGACCGUGGAGUCCCUUUAACCUACGUACUGUUUAGCCUAACAAAAUAAGGUUUAUGAGACAAAAUUAGACUAUUUUAGAUGUGAUUCAACAGCUCAGCCCGGGGUGCAGCCCCGUUCUGGAUCCGCCCCUGUACGGAAACCAAUCAAAAUGUGUGAUACUUACAUGGUUCUUCGAAUGCCCGCUGCUUCUACUAUUCUUCCAAGGCGACAAGGGUAGGUUAGGCAGGCGUACCCAAAGGGUUUAUGCCACUGAUGGUGCGAGAUUGGAUUAGUACUGCAGCCUCUCCAUCUACCACCCUAAUCACCAGCACGGAGCCGGCGAUGCGGCAAGGCGCAGAGUGGAGAGAUUCUUGAGGGAUUUCCUCAUGCCCUCAUAGGAUGGUACCAAUUUUUUUUGGUACUGGCUGCUAUUGCGCCGUAGGAGAUGGCUGGGGAUGGUGCUAUAACUGUUGUUCACCGCCGCUCAUCUCGAUGGCAAGACGGCAACUGCAACAGCUCGGCAACUCGUUCGUCAGUCGUUGCGGCCUAGAGCGGAUCUCCAUGGACCGAGUCCAUCUGAGGCGAGGGCCCAUCAUGAAAAGUUGGACCGUGCCAGGUCCACGCAGGCACGCCGUCGCCUCCGAUGGCCCAAUACAAUUUGUCAGCGUCUCCAAAAAAGAACACAAUGCAUAUGAUGUGUGCUCUCUGCACAUCCUGACUUGGGAAGGUGACAGGGUUUUGUUUUCAGGAAGCUGGAUGCAUAGCCUGGACGUUUUAGGUUGUGUGGUGAAUACAGUGCUAGUCGUCUCCUCUGAUGCUCUCUUGGAAUGGCCGAGUGGCCGACGAUGUUUGUACCGGCCUGGAGUCCUUUCAAUAUCUAACUGUUGCCAGCUGUAUGUAGUUAACUUUCAGGGUUAGUGUUUGGCAUAAAUGAGUGAAGCUUGCUUGGCCGACAAGAGCGUGUAUUACCCGGAGCUGAUCAGGCUCAGGGCGCGCAUCCAGUCACGUCAGUGUCUCAUGACAGUCGUCGCUUUGCCCCGUCCCAUACGGGCACAUCGGACGUUUCCGUGCGCGGAUGACGAUGGUCCCAAUGUGUCCACUCAAAGCUUUCUGCCGCUACAGUCUACACAGGGCGCGCGACUCACCAGCUUCACCAUUUAGUCUGGCGCUUCUGCCUAUCUAUAUUCGUCCAGAACUGAUUCACCACUCUGUUCGUCCUGCUACUGCCAUCGUAGAAACCUUCCCAUACGCUCCCAUGGCUCCGUCGUCCUUGCUGCUCUUCCUCGUCUCGUCGGUGCCGGGUGAUGCUUGCGGCAGCAGCAGCAUACGUGCAAGGAGGAAAGGACCGCGCACCUGUGGUAUGCGGCAACCUCAGCAUCUCCUACCCGUUUGUGUUACUCUCGGAGGAAGCAACGGAGUAACUACGCAGUGCUCGGAUUCCAA